AGAUUAGUAGGAUGAUUUUUACCUGUUCAUCUCUUCAGAGAGCAGAUAGAUCACGAUGACUGGAGUUCAUUUGCUUUGUGAUUAAUUAAAUUCUCUCCGUGAUGAGGUUCCCAGUACCCUAAUAUCUCCUAUCUGAU
Sorex fumeus (smoky shrew) is the source of this 137-nucleotide small nucleolar RNA. RefSeq annotates it as U8 small nucleolar RNA. The transcript has a single exon. The record is from RefSeq and is a predicted model, not a curated record. Lineage: Eukaryota; Metazoa; Chordata; Mammalia; Eulipotyphla; Soricidae.